GUGCUCACUGCUAUAAGCACAUGCAACCAAAAUCUGAACAAUACAGAGAGAAUUAACAUGACCUCGGCACAAGGAUGUCACCAAUGUGUGAAGUAUUCAUGUAUUAA
Small nuclear RNA from Sciurus vulgaris (Eurasian red squirrel), 107 nucleotides. The record is from Ensembl. NCBI's taxonomy places the organism in Eukaryota, Metazoa, Chordata, Mammalia, Rodentia, Sciuridae.